CGUGAUUACUAUUCUCUUUUAAUAGAAGAAAGUAAUCAAAAAUGGUUAAAAUGGCUUCCUAUGCGAUUCCAAUCCUUUUCCUCAUUUUAUUUGCAUCUUAUAAUACUGCUAUUGCUCGAAAAACUCGGGUCCCCAAAACUAUUGCAGAUGAAAAUAAAGAGAACCCAAGGGUUAUUGGAGAAAGUAAAACUGGAGUGGGCGGUCAUGGUUCAACCGGUGGCGGACCAGGUGGACCACGUGGUCCCGCACCAGGUGGCCUUGGCAGCCAUGUGUGAUAUUUUGUCAUACAUAUAGAAAAUAAAUGCACGUGGUGUACAAGUUUCAAAUUA
This is a non-coding RNA of Jatropha curcas, 329 nucleotides long. Lineage: Eukaryota; Viridiplantae; Streptophyta; Magnoliopsida; Malpighiales; Euphorbiaceae. The record is from RefSeq and is a predicted model, not a curated record.